This 4255-nucleotide long non-coding RNA is filed under the name Canis lupus familiaris (dog). Its description in RNAcentral is "lncRNA (ENSCAFG00805025040.1, ENSCAFG00845009910.1)". Lineage: Eukaryota; Metazoa; Chordata; Mammalia; Carnivora; Canidae. The record is from RNAcentral.
GAUAGUCACACAGAGAGAGAGAGAGAGAGGCAGAGACACAGGCAGAGGGAGAAGCAGGCUCCAUGCACCGGGAGCCCGACGUGGGAUUCGAUCCCAGGUCUCCAGGAUCGCGCCCUGAGCCAAAGGCAGGCGCCAAACUGCUGCGCCACCCAGGGAUCCCUUGAUUUCUAAUUCUGAAAGGCACAUGAAAUCAUACAAAAGGCUAUUAUCCAGUGAAUGAAAUGUUAAGUUUCUCUCCCAUCCUGGUUCCCUCACUCCUCAUUUCCAGGACUGCCAUGUAAGAUCAUCCAAGUUGUUUACUGCACAAUGGCAUGUGGCUGAGGAAGUGAGCAGAAGUUAUAAUCGAGCUUGGGUUCUGCUGGAUAAGCCACAACUCAUGGCUCUGAGGAAACCAUCUUUUUCAUCUAAACCACAUGAAAAUACUAUGUAAGGAAGUGCCAGCCUUACCCUUCUCCCCUCCACAAAGGCUACCACUAUGUCUAGUGUUUUGUAUGCCCCUCCAGACAUAGUCUAUGUUAUCGAAACAGAUAUAUCACGCUGUAUGGAUGAAACAGUUAUUUAAAAAGAAUAAAGAAAUACCAGGAAAAGCAAAAAGCAAUACAAGAUAAUCAGAAUCCAAAUGCUUCUAGAGGAGUCAUUCAAGGUAAAAUAGGAUUAAAAGGAGGAGGGGGAAAAAAAGCCUAUUUGUAACAAACAAGUCUUAAGGGAAGAAUCCUAAGUGCAAGGAUUGUUGGAUUGUUUUCCAUCCGAGCAGUCUCCAAUUCAAGUAUGCUGUUUAAGCAGCAAAUGAAAUUGAUUAAAAUGCAAUUGCCAAGUGGGUUGAUAUUUGGUACUUAUUCACCACGCUUCCCACAGCUUAGAAGAGUAUGGUGGUAUGUGCGUGGUCCAGCUUCCACCAUAGGAUUUUCAUCUGCUGAGAAACCUAGAAAUGAGUGUCCCACAUGAAGCCUGGUACUUCCAUUUCCUUCACUCUAGUGUCCUCGAAAACAAAGAGAAUUGCUUACACGGAAACCUAGAGCACUCUGUUAAUCUAUAGUCUAACAUUUCUGUAUUUAUCCAACUUGGGCUAAAAUUUCUAUUUAGGGAAAAUGAUAGUUAAAUAAGUAAAUAAUUCAAAUUAUGAGAUCUGAUUGCAAGGAUUGUUCUAUCACUCUGAGUAACCUUUUAGGCCUUUGCCUAUGUUUCUGUUCCAUGCUUUGCCUCAUCACAGAAGGCAACACUGGUCUUCUUUUGGGUUCCAACUUCUUUGCCCCACGCUGUUCAUCAGCUGUUCCUUCAGCUCUGAACACUUCUCUACCCCAAAAUUUCAUCCAGUGAACUCCUGUUUAUCUUUCCAGAUUUAGCCUGGAUGUUUUCUAAAAAUAUUGUUUAAAGAUUUUUUAAAAAUUUAUUCAUGAGAGACGCAGAGAGAGAGAGGCAGACACACAGGUAGAGGGAGAAGCAGGCUCCUUGCAGGGAGCCCAAUGUGGGAUUAGAUCCUUGGACCCCGGGAUCAUGCUCUGAGCCAAAGACAGACACUCAACUGCUGAGCCACCCACACAUCCCCAGACUUAGCUUGAAUGUCGAUCCCUCAAAGCAGGUGAGUGUCCCAUCACAGCAGCUUGAUCUCCCCCCCCAGACCAUAUGCUCCAUGAGUGCCUGCUUUGUCACCACUGCACUGCCAUUGCUUAGCACCCGGCUCAUAGUAGUUAUUCAAUAAACCUGACAAGUGAGUCGAUGGAAAUGCAAAAGCUACCCAUGAUCCUAGGAGAGCCUCACUCAUUUAAACAAAUUGAGUGACAUGUAAAAGAAAGCUUAGGGGGCACUUGGGUGGCUCAAUCGGUUAAGUGUCUGCCUUUGGCUCAGGUCAUGAUCCCAGGGUCCUGGAAUUGAGCCCCACAUUGGGCUCCCUGCUCCACGAGGAGCCCGCUUCUCCCUCUUCCUCUGCUGUUCCCCCUGCUUGUGCUCUCUGGCUCUCUCUUUCUCUCACUCUCUCUGUGUCGAAUAAAUAAAUAAAAUCUUUUUAAAAAAAUAAAAGAAAGCUUAGAAUUAAUAGAGAGCCAAGAAUGAUAAGGCUUGGAACCUACUCCUUAGGACUAGAAGUGUCGUCCAAGGAAGAAAUGGGGAGAAAAUGAAGCUGGUACUGGAUUAGGGCAAUUGUCAGAUGAAAAACAAGACUGGGAAAAAAUGGUUGGGACCUAGGAAGGUGAUCAGAUGACUUAAGCAUGAGAUAUUCCUACCAGAGCAGAGGACACUGUGUGCUAAGAAGGUGAUAUGUUGAACCAUCUUAAUUUUAAUUUUACCUGAUUCAAAUAGGUCUUGACAGUAGCAAUGGGAUUAUCCAAGACAUAUUUGUCCUCCUAAGUGGCUUAUUCUUUAAAGCCUCUUUCAAGAGUGCUUUGGGAAGUUCAGAAACUAGUUCUGUUUUGAUUACUUCAAGUUAUGCUAGGAGCAGGAUAAGAAGACUUGAACACAUUUGCCUUGUGGAUUUGUCCUCUGUUUCUAUUUCUAAAACAGAAUACCUAAGUCUGUUAAAUGAUUAACUACAAGAGUGCUGAGAAUGUCAACAGUUACCCGCAUUCGUUUUGAAUGUCAUUUUCCAUAAAUGCCACGAUAUAGUUUCAGAGAUGAUGAAGAAUUGAAGUAAGUAAUUUACUUACUUACAAGUAAUUUAUUUAUUUAUUUAGAAAUAAAUGAAAUGCAAACAUUAUAUUUACAUGAUAAAGCACAACUACCAAAAACACUGGAUUAUGUUCAAGCUGGAGAAGAACUUUUCCAAGGCCCACAAUCAUUGAAAUAUAGUUGUGUAGAAAGGAAAGCAUCCAGAUUAAUUUAAUUUCUUUUUACAACAGUGAAAAUGUAUGCAGACUGGCUCUCUUCAACUAUUCCAUUCAAGUAAAUUACAGGGCAAAGGGAAGGGAAUAUGAAGCUUCAGGGCCAGGGUGGUCCCAAAGCAAUUUUAGCAAUGAGGAAUUGAAUUCACCGAUUUUAUCUUAAAGAUUCAGGUGGAUUUUGUAUUUUUUUCCAUAAUAUAUCUUUGAUUUUCCUUCUAAAAAUACACUAAGUAAAACUGAUGGUACAGGAAGAUGCACCAUGUUUAUUUUUGGUUUCCCAUAAUCUCUUAGGGCACCUCCUAAUACCCUGAGGAGGAGAGGGCAUUAGCCCAGUGUAAGAAGUACAGAGGUAGACAUUAGGGGAAAUAAUCAUAUAAUCUAUGCAAACUUCAGAAAAGCUCGUAACUUGUUAAAAAAAAAAAAAGCUUUUUUUUCCAUCAACAAAUGAUUAAACAUGGUAAUCUGGAACACCUGGGUGGCACAGUUGGUUAAAUGCCUGACUCUAGAUUUCAGCUCAGGUCAUGAUCUCCGAGUCCUGAGAUCGAGCUCUGCCUAGGGCUCUGUGCUUGGCUUAAGAGUCUGCUUGAGCUUGAGUUUCUCUCUCCUUCUUCCUCUGCCCCUACCUGCCAUAUUCUCUUUCUCUCUAAAAUAGACAAAUUCUUAACAAAAAAAUAAAUAUGGUAAUCUAUGUGUAGACAAUUCUUCUGGAAUCUCAGAGAUUCCUAUCAUAGCACAUACCACACUAGAGUGUGGUAUUUCUCAUUUCUUAUGCCUAUCCAACUGCUGUGGUCCUUGGGCAAUUACCCAACAUCCAUUCUACCAAAAAUAAAGAGCUUAAACUAAUUAUGGUAAUCCCAUCCUCUUUCCCAUGUGAUUAGUUUAGGAAGGGCAUCCAAUACAGUCUUGGUCAUUAAAACCCAAGGGGAAGUCUCCUUAUGGGGCUUCUGGGAAACUUUUUAUAGAACUGGUUGAGCCACUUUUCCACUAGCUGAUGAUGAAGCCAGACAGAGACUCCAUUUAAGCAAGACAAUUACCAACUAGGCAAACUGGAGUCUUCAAGCAUUGUGUGGGAUGCCCAUUUCUGUGAGAUAAUAUUGUUUCCUGAUUAAUUAAGCCAAUUAAUGUGUGACUUCUCUUUUACUCAAGGAGACCUUUAACAGUAUACUUUACAUUAGACUGGAACUUUGUCAAGGGCAGGGUGUAUGAUUGAUUGGUUUAUUUUUUAUUUUAUUUUAUUUAAAUUCAAUUAAUUAACAUUUGGUAUAUUAUUAGUUUCAGAGGUAGAGUGCAGUGAUUCAUCAGUUGCAUAUAACACCCAGUGCUCAUUAUAUCACCUGAGGAUUUAUGAUUGAUUAUCUUUGUAUUCCAGAGUCUAACACAGCAUCCUAUAGAUAGUAAGGGUCUAAUUAAUAUAUGUAGAACUAAAUUGAACCAAUUAUCAA